This 405-nucleotide ribosomal RNA is filed under the name uncultured bacterium. RNAcentral describes it as "partial 16S ribosomal RNA". It matches the Rfam family "Bacterial small subunit ribosomal RNA", at positions 30 to 526 of the family's 1533-position model. The record is from RNAcentral.
AUUGAACGCUGGCGGCAGGCUUAACACAUGCAAGUCGAACGGGUGGCGGACGGGUGAGUAAUGCUUGGGCAUCUAGCUUAUGGAGGGGGAUAACUACGGGAAACUGUAGCUAAUACCGCUUACCAUAGGAUGAGCCCAAGUGGGAUUAGGUAGUUGGUGAGGGAAAGGCUCACCAAGGCGACGAUCCAUAGCUGAUCUGAGAGGGUGACCGGCCACACUGGGACUGAGACACGGCCCAGACUCCUACGGGAGGCAGCAGUGGGGAAUAUUGCGCAAUGGGGGCAACCUGACGCAGCCAUGCCGCGUGAAUGAAGAAGGCCUUCGGUUUGUAAAGUUCUUUCGGUAGCGAGGCGUUAACUACCGAAGAAGCACCGGCUAACUACGUGCCAGCAGCCGCGGUAAUAC